GUGCCAGCAGCCGCGGUAAUACGUAGGUGGCUAGCGUUGUCCGGAGUGACUGGGCGUAAAGCGCACGUAGGCGGCUUUCUAAGUCAGGGGUGAAAUCCUGGAGCUCAACUCCAGAACUGCCCUUGAUACUGACGGUCUCGAGUCCGGGAGAGGUGAGUGGAACUGCGAGUGUAGAGGUGAAAUUCGUAGAUAUUCGCAAGAACACCAGUGGCGAAGGCGGCUCACUGGCCCGAUACUGACGCUGAGGCACGAAAGCGUGGGGAGCAAACAGGAUUCGAUACCCGGGUAGUCC
RNAcentral lists this ribosomal RNA (292 nucleotides) under uncultured bacterium. RNAcentral's name for it is "partial 16S ribosomal RNA". It matches the Rfam family "Bacterial small subunit ribosomal RNA", at positions 505 to 796 of the family's 1533-position model. The record is from RNAcentral.